GACGAACGCUGGCGGCGUGCUUAACACAUGCAAGUCGAACGAAAAGAGGGAAAGAGCUUGCUCUUUCCGGAAUUGAGUGGCAAACGGGUGAGUAACACGUAAACAACCUGCCUUCAGGAUGGGGACAACAGACGGAAACGACUGCUAAUACCGAAUAAGUUCCAAGAGCCGCAUGGCCCAUGGAAGAAAAGGUGGCCUCUACCUGUAAGCUAUCGCCUGAAGAGGGGUUUGCGUCUGAUUAGCUGGUUGGAGGGGUAACGGGCCCACCAAGGCGACGAUCAGUAGCCGGUCUGAGAGGAUGAACGGCCACACUGGAACUGAGACACGGUCCAGACUCCUACGGGAGGCAGCAGUGGGGAAUCUUCCGCAAUGGGCGAAAGCCUGACGGAGCAACGCCGCGUGAGUGAUGACGGCCUCGG
This 419-nucleotide ribosomal RNA is filed under the name uncultured bacterium. Its description in RNAcentral is "bacterial SSU rRNA". It matches the Rfam family "Bacterial small subunit ribosomal RNA", at positions 28 to 420 of the family's 1533-position model. The record is from RNAcentral.